This 253-nucleotide ribosomal RNA is filed under the name uncultured bacterium. Its description in RNAcentral is "partial 16S ribosomal RNA". It matches the Rfam family "Bacterial small subunit ribosomal RNA", at positions 524 to 776 of the family's 1533-position model. The record is from RNAcentral.
UACGGAGGGGGCUAGCGUUGUUCGGAAUUACUGGGCGUAAAGCGCGCGCAGGUGGCUUUGUUAGUCGGAGGUGAAAGGCCUGGGCUCAACCUGGGAACUGCCUUCGAUACUGCGAAGCUAGAGUCCGGAAGAGGGUAGUGGAAUUCCCAGUGUAGAGGUGAAAUUCGUAGAUAUUGGGAAGAACACCGGUGGCGAAGGCGGCUACCUGGUCCGGUACUGACGCUGAGGCGCGAAAGCGUGGGGAGCAAACAGG